UACGUAGGGCGCAAGCGUUAUCCGGAAUUAUUGGGCGUAAAGAGCUCGUAGGCGGUUUGUUGCGUCGGCCGUGAAAACCUGCAGCUUAACUGUGGGCCUGCGGCCGAUACGGGCAGACUUGAGUUCGGUAGGGGAGACUGGAAUUCCUGGUGUAGCGGUGAAAUGCGCAGAUAUCAGGAGGAACACCGGUGGCGAAGGCGGGUCUCUGGGCCGAUACUGACGCUGAUGAGCGAAAGCGUGGGGAGCGAACAGG
This 253-nucleotide ribosomal RNA is filed under the name uncultured bacterium. RNAcentral describes it as "partial 16S ribosomal RNA". It matches the Rfam family "Bacterial small subunit ribosomal RNA", at positions 524 to 776 of the family's 1533-position model. The record is from RNAcentral.